ACGAGAUCCUCCUGGUGACUGGAGUUCAGACGUGUGCUCUUCCGAUCUUAGCAAUCUGCGAUAAGCCUCGGGGAGCUGAUAAGCGAGCUUUGAUCCGAGGAUGUCCGAAUGGGGAAACCCCGCUGGGAGCUUCGUGCUACCCAGUGACUCCCGCCUGAAUAUAUAGGGCGGGUAGAGGGAACGUGGGGAAGUGAAACAUCUCAGUACCCACAGGAAGAGAAAACAACAGUGAUUCCGGUAGUAGUGGCGAGCGAAACCGGAACAGGCCAAACCGAUCAUGUGUGAUAGCCGGCAGGCGUUGCAUGGUCGGGGUUGUGGGACUCUUACGGUUUUCUGCCGAAAACCACGUAGAUAGUUGUUGUAUAGACAAAUGGUCUUGAAAGGCCAGCCGCAGAGGGUGCCAGCCCCGUAGUUGAAAUGCAGCACUAAUGCGAAGAGGAUCCCAAGUAUCACGGGGCCCGAGAAAUCCCGUGUGAAUCUGCCAGGACCACCUGGUAAGCCUAAAUACUCCCAGAUGACCGAUAGCGGACAAGUACCGUGAGGGAAAGGUGAAAAGUACCCCGGGAGGGGAGUGAAAUAGAACCUGAAACCGUUUGCUUACAAUCCGUUGGAGCCUCCUUGUAGGGGUGACAGCGUGCCUUUUGAAGAAUGAGCCUGCGAGUUAGCGAUAUGUGGCGAGGUUAACCCGUGAGGGGUAGCCGUAGCGAAAGCGAGUCUGAAUAGGGCGAUUCAGUCGCAUGUCCUAGACCCGAAGCGAAGUGAUCUAUCCAUGGCCAGGUUGAAGCGACGGUAAGACGUCGUGGAGGACCGAACCCACUUGGGUUGAAAACCGAGGGGAUGAGCUGUGGAUAGGGGUGAAAGGCCAAUCAAACUUCGUGAUAGCUGGUUCUCUCCGAAAUGCAUUUAGGUGCAGCGUUGCGUGUUUCUUGCCGGAGGUAGAGCUACUGGAUGGCCGAUGGGCCCUAAAAGGUUACUGACGUCAGCCAAACUCCGAAUGCCGGUAAGUAAGAGCGCAGCAGUGAGACGGUGGGGGAUAAGCUUCAUCGUCGAGAGGGAAACAACCCAGACUACCGACUAAGGUCCCAAAGCGUGUGCUAAGUGGAAAAGGAUGUGGAGUUGCAUAGACAACCAGGAGGUUGGCUUAGAAGCAGCCACCCUUGAAAGAGUGCGUAAUAGCUCACUGGUCAAGUGAUUCCGCGCCGACAAUGUAACGGGGCUCAAGCACACCACCGAAGUCGUAGCAUUCAAACUAUAGGUAGGCCUUCGUGGUCCAGCCGUGUGAAUGGGUAGGAGAGCGUCGUGUGGCGAGCGAAGCGGCGGAGUGAUCCAGCCGUGGACGCCACACGAGUGAGAAUGCAGGCAUGAGUAGCGAAAGACGGGUGAGAAACCCGUCCUCCGGAAGACCAAGGGUUCCAGGGCCAGGCUAAUCCGCCCUGGGUAAGUCGGGACCUAAGACGAGGCCGACAGGCGUAGUCGAUGGACAACGGGUUGAUAUUCCCGUACCCGCGAAGAACCGCAAGAGCUAAACCAGUAAUGCUAAGAGUCCGAAUUCUCUUUCUGAUCCCUUCGGGGUGAGGAUUGAGAGCUAGCACUCGACCCUAUGCUGGCGCGGCUAGCGUAUUAACAGGUGUGACGCAGGAAGGUAGCUGAGCCGGGCGAUGGUUGUCCCGGUGUAAGGAUGUAGGGCGAGGAAUAGGCAAAUCCGUUCCUCACGAAGCCUGAGAUCCGACGCGUACCCCUCACGGGGGAAAUCAGUGAUCCUAUGCUGCCAAGAAAAGCAUCGACGCGAGGUUCUAGUGGCCCGUACCCCAAACCGACUCAGGUGGUCAGGUAGAGAAUACUAAGGAGAUCGAGAGAAUCGUGGUUAAGGAACUCGGCAAAAUGCCCCCGUAACUUCGGGAGAAGGGGGGCCGGAUUGGUGAAGGGAUUUACUCCUGGAGCUAUGAAGGCCGCAGAGACCAGUGGGAAGCGACUGUUUACUAAAAACACAGGUCCGUGCUAAGUCGCAAGACGAUGUAUACGGACUGACGCCUGCCCGGUGCUGGAAGGUUAAGAGGAGCGGUUAGCACUUGUGCAAAGCUGCGAAUUUAAGCCCCAGUAAACGGCGGUGGUAACUAUAACCAUCCUAAGGUAGCGAAAUUCCUUGUCGGGUAAGUUCCGACCUGCACGAAUGGCGUA
RNAcentral lists this ribosomal RNA (2178 nucleotides) under seawater metagenome. RNAcentral describes it as "bacterial LSU rRNA". It matches the Rfam family "Bacterial large subunit ribosomal RNA", at positions 1 to 2003 of the family's 2925-position model. The record is from RNAcentral.